Molecule: ribosomal RNA, 427 nt
Filed under: Cardiobacterium hominis
Lineage: Bacteria; Pseudomonadati; Pseudomonadota; Gammaproteobacteria; Cardiobacteriales; Cardiobacteriaceae
Description: bacterial SSU rRNA
Rfam family: Bacterial small subunit ribosomal RNA
Source: RNAcentral
CAUGCAAGUCGAACGGAAACGAUGGAGCUUGCUCCAGGCGUCGAGUGGCGGACGGGUGAGUAAUGCAUGGGAAUCUGCCUUUUGCUGGGGGAUAACGUAGGGAAACUUACGCUAAUACCGCAUAAGACCUAAGGGUGAAAGCGGGGGACCGAAAGGCCUCGCGGCAAGAGAUGAGCCCAUGUUGGAUUAGCUAGUUGGUGGGGUAAAGGCCUACCAAGGCGACGAUCCAUAGCUGGUCUGAGAGGAUGAUCAGCCACACUGGGACUGAGACACGGCCCAGACUCCUACGGGAGGCAGCAGUGGGGAAUAUUGGACAAUGGGGGGAACCCUGAUCCAGCAAUGCCGCGUGUGUGAAGAAGGCCUUCGGGUUGUAAAGCACUUUCAGUAGGGAGGAAAGGUGCGUAGUUAAUACCUGCGCAAUUGACGU